Lacerta agilis (Sand lizard) is the source of this 239-nucleotide long non-coding RNA. RefSeq lists it as uncharacterized. The record is from RefSeq and is a predicted model, not a curated record. NCBI's taxonomy places the organism in Eukaryota, Metazoa, Chordata, Lepidosauria, Squamata, Lacertidae. The transcript has 3 exons.
CCCAGCUGCAGGCGGAACAGCAGGUGCCUCCGAGUUCUGACACAGGAGCAUCACCUCUCAGGAGGGGCCAGGAUCAGGUGCUUAAGGCGCCUUUUCAGCUGCUGCCACAAGGUGGCCCCCCAGCAAGGCCCAGAGCAGCCCGUGGCGCCAGUUCUGCUGCGGUUCCCCAUCCCUUCCCCAGGGGUGAGUAUCGGAGAAAACAAGAGCAGGGACUGGAUCCCUCAGACCUGCCCCCCACU